This 90-nucleotide transfer RNA is filed under the name Pyrobaculum organotrophum. Its description in RNAcentral is "tRNA-SeC". It matches the Rfam family "tRNA". Rfam says of the family: Transfer RNA (tRNA) molecules are approximately 80 nucleotides in length. Their secondary structure includes four short double-helical elements and three loops (D, anti-codon, and T loops). The record is from RNAcentral. RNAcentral also lists the same sequence under 1 other name. Lineage: Archaea; Thermoproteati; Thermoproteota; Thermoprotei; Thermoproteales; Thermoproteaceae.
GGGCCCGUAGUCUAGCGGUAUGAUGCCCGCCUCACGCGGCUUCUCGCCUGAGAGCGCGGGUGGUCCCGGGUUCAAAUCCCGGCGGGCCCA